RNAcentral lists this ribosomal RNA (447 nucleotides) under uncultured bacterium. RNAcentral's name for it is "bacterial SSU rRNA". It matches the Rfam family "Bacterial small subunit ribosomal RNA", at positions 355 to 825 of the family's 1533-position model. The record is from RNAcentral.
UCGGGAAUUUUGGGCAAUGGGCGCAAGCCUGAUCCAGCCAUGCCGCGUGGAUGAUGAAGGCCUUAGGGUUGUAAAAUCCUUUCGUGGGGGACGAUAAUGACGGUACCCCAAGAAGAAGCUCCGGCUAACUUCGUGCCAGCAGCCGCGGUAAUACGAAGGGGGCUAGCGUUGUUCGGAUUUACUGGGCGUAAAGCGCGUGUAGGCGGGUCGUUAAGUUGGGGGUGAAAUCCCGAGGCUCAACCUCGGAACUGCCUUCAAAACUGGCGACCUGGACCCAAGUAGAGGCAAGUGGAAUUGCGAGUGUAGAGGUGAAAUUCGUAGAUAUUCGCAGGAACACCAGUGGCGAAGGCGACUUGCUGGACUUGUGGUGACGCUGAGACGCGAAAGCGUGGGGAGCAAACAGGAUUAGAUACCCCCGUAGUCCCUGAGCGGGCUGGCAAGGCGCAU